GCUGGUGUGGUAUAGUGGAUUGAGUGCUGGACUAGGAGUCCAGGUAGUCCAGGGUUCGAAUCUCCACUCAACCA
This is a non-coding RNA of Phrynosoma platyrhinos (Desert horned lizard), 74 nucleotides long. NCBI's taxonomy places the organism in Eukaryota, Metazoa, Chordata, Lepidosauria, Squamata, Phrynosomatidae. The record is from the annotation of a GenBank genome assembly.